RNAcentral lists this ribosomal RNA (119 nucleotides) under Pteropus alecto (black flying fox). Lineage: Eukaryota; Metazoa; Chordata; Mammalia; Chiroptera; Pteropodidae. The record is from RNAcentral.
GUCUACUGCUAUGCCACCCUGAAUGUGCCCAAUCUAGUCUAAUCUAGGAAGCUAAGCAGGGUCAGGCCUGGUUAGUACUUGGAUGGGAGACUACCUAGGAAUAUCAGGUGCUGUAGGUG